This 16448-nucleotide long non-coding RNA is filed under the name Lactuca sativa (garden lettuce). RNAcentral's name for it is "long non-coding RNA (LSAT_LNC005597)". Lineage: Eukaryota; Viridiplantae; Streptophyta; Magnoliopsida; Asterales; Asteraceae. The record is from RNAcentral.
GAAAACAUGGUGUGUAGCUCAAAGCCAGGCUACCGAACCGAAGUUGCAACAAGUUCUUGACUAUCUUUGUGGACAACUCGACUGCAAGGAGAUUCAACCUGGAGGAUCAUGCUUUAACCCUAACACUGUGCGAAAUCAUGCGUCUUAUGCUAUUGAUCUUAACUUUCAAAUUAAUGGUGUAUGCGAUAUUAGUUACGCUACUCCUGCUGUCACAGAUCCAUGUAAGUUUCUUUUUCUAUUGGAAUAUUUUCUAAAGAAAUGCUCUGGCGCAUCAAAUAUCGGGUGAUAAGUGUACAAAUUGAAACUAAUUUUGUGUUGUUUUUAUGCAGCUUUCGGGACAUGUGUCUACCCCUAAGUGAUGAGAAAUUCAUAAUCGAACGACACGUUGAAGGGAAGAUCAUAUUUUUUUCAAAUUCUUGAAGGGUGAAAAGAAUGUAUAAAACAAUCUAAUAAGUGGAAAUAAAAUGUUCUUUUACUCGUUACAUGGUGUUUGAUAUAUUAUACUGUGUGUAUGCUUAGAACAUCAUAUGCCAUUUUAAGAACGUAACGUUAUUCUUCAUUUUCAAAAUAUACGUACUCGUUUGAUUUCUUUUGAGUUUAAGUGAAAUGUUUUAUUAUUUGUUAAAUAUGAUUCGAUGGAAUUUGAAGAUAAAUUAGAAAAAAGACUGAAAUUAAGGUUAUGAUGUUAUCCUUUUUUAGAUUAAACAUCGAUAAUAUGUUUUUUUGUAAGACUUCUGUAAAGUUUAUUUGCUUUGAUUAAUUUGCAAUAAUGUGUAUACUACUCAAAUGAUUCUUGAGUUUGAUUCGACCUUCAAAUAGUUUGGAGGGUUAUUUAUGAAAAUUAACAUUUUUUUAUGUAUAUAAGAAAGAUACUGUAUCCUUUAAAUAUUACAAACUAAGUAACCUAGCUUGAAAAUGUUAUGUCUUUUAGAAUUUUGAACUUAUUUGAGUGGUUAUCGAUAUAUAAGACAUGAAAUAACUUGGAGCGAAAUUUUUCACUGAACUAAUUAUUGAAUUCUCUCAAGAACGUUUUCAGAUCGAAAAAAUAUGUUUAAUAAUCUUCAAAUCAAGAAAAAAAACAUAUAAAUCCAUCUAUGGAAAACAUAUCGUUUGAUUUCUUUUGAGUUUAAGUGAAAUGUUUUAUUGUUGGUUAUAUAUGAUUUGAUGGAUUUUGAAAAUAAAUUAGAAAAGAGAUUGAAAUUAAGUCCAUCUAUAGAAAAAAAGAUUUGAUUUCUUUUGAGUUUAAAUGAAAUGUUUUAUUGUUGGUUAAAUAUGAUUUGAUGGGUUUUGAAAAUAAAUUAGAACAAAGAUUGAAAUUAAGGUUAUGAUGUUAUCCUUUUUUAGAUUAAACAUCGAUAAUAUGGUUUUUUUGUAAGACUUCUGUAAUGUUUCUUUGCUUCCAUUAAUUUGCAAUUAUGUGUAUACUACUCAAAUGAUUCUUGAGUUUGAGGCGACCUUCAAAUACUUGGGAGGGUUAUUNGCGACCUUCAAAUACUUUGGAGGGUUAUUCAUGAAAAUUAACAUUUUCUAUUUAUGUAAAUAAGAAAGCUAUUGUAUCCUUUAAAUAUUACAAACUAAAUAACCUAGCCCGAAAAUGUUAUGUUUUUAAAAAUUUUGAACUUGUUUUAGUGGUCAUCGAUAUAUAAGACAUGAAAUAAUUUGGAGCGAAAUUUUUCACUAAGCCAAUUAUUGAAUUCUCUCAAGAACGUUCGAAAAAAUAUUUUAAAUAAUCUUCAAAUAAAAAAAACAUAUAAAACUUCUACUCUCUCUUCUUUUAAUUAUAUUACAUGGUUUUUGCUCUUUUUAGUCCCUAAAUAAAGUUCAUCUAUGGAAAACAAAUCGUAUUGUUCAAUUAUGUAUAAAAUCCGUGAAGGAAAUCAUUUUCACUAUGAGAAUUUCCUUUUAACAUGUUCAAAAUUUUAAGCGUGUUUCACAAUCAUGUGUUCAAAACUUUUUCUAAGCAUUAUGAUGUUUGGAAGUAAGGACUUUAUAUUAUAAUUUUUCUAUAUCCCAAUUUAGUGAAUGUUUGUCGUGAACCAUAAGAUUUUGGGUGAAAUGAAAAUAUAAAUCCUUGGAUCCCAGAUUACGAAUAAUGUACCAAGUUGUCUUUUGAUUGAAACUCGCAUUAGGAAUCGUGAGUGUACAUCCUUUGAAGGGUAUAAAUUAAAGACACUUUGAUGAGAACCAUAAUAUUUAGCCGUAAAUAAUAUUGCUAACUUGACAUGUUACAGUUUUGGUCGGUGAUUAUCGAUUUUAUUAGUUUUUCUUUAUGUAAUUUUCUUGGCUCAUAAUUUUUGUAUUGUACUUAGGUGUAGGUCACUAUACAUGUUUUUGUGUUGAUGUCAUGUAUGUGGUUUAAUUAGUUAAAAAAACAGUUAACAAAUAUGAAAAAAAUGGGAUUCUGAUACUUUCUCUGAAAUAUGUGUCACACCCCGAAAACCGAAGGCGGAAACAUUUUCGAGGAUGACUCCACGUUGAGUAUCAAAUCCAAUGCACAUAGUAAGUACAGUAAACAACCAUUACAUUACAUAUAUAAAAGUUUACAUUUGUUUGAAAGUAAAGUUGUACAGAUGUGAUACAUAGUAUAUAUGAAAAAAAGUAAGACGAGUCUUCAACGCAUUCCGUCUUCGCCAAAAGGAAUCAUCGGGUACCUGUCUAACGCAGACGUGAGAAUACAAGUAAUUUGAAAAUCAGCAUAAUGCUGGUGAGUUCAUAAGCGGUGUGUUUUCUGAAAAUGUACAAGUUCUUUUCUGUUUCUGGAAAUGAUACACACCAAGAAAAUCCUAUAUUUUCUUAAUAGUUGGUUAUUGAAUCCCAAAAUGUAAUGUAAAAGAUGUACACUGAAAACAUGUUUACUCUUGUGAACUGUAAAGUUUAGUUAUCUGAAAUGUUACACGAUUCUGGUUAUGUACAAAUGUUACCCCAGGAAAAUCCCAUAUUUUCCUAAAUGUUGGUUACCAAUUGUGGAAGAUGUAUACUGAAAACCUGGUUGUCCUUGUGAAAUGUAUUAGUUUUAACACGUAUAUAAAACUAAUAUAUACAAAGUAAACAUAGUUACUUUAUUCAUUAUUACUAUUUAGUAAAUCUCUGUUAUCCAAAUUGCGAGUUCCAUAACCAUACGAUAGACUAGAUAUGGCAAUAAGUAGUCCACAUCACCUUAUGACUUCCGUCACCCUUGAACCUUUCGGUUCGGCUGUAGCUAGCAGCCAGGUGUGGGGUAGUCAGCCCCGUAUAGAUCUAUACACUCAAGUCACGCUCCCUAUCUAAGAGAUUCUGGUUAUGGGUGUGGUCCUCCACUCGCGUAUCUCUGUGGAGUGUUCACCGAGGACGUGUCUCCAAUUUAUAGAAAUAACAAAUUUACUAGUAAUAAUACAGAAAGAUCCUGUUACAAACAAUGAUCCUCCACUCGCGUAUCUCUGUGGAGUGUUACCGAGGACAAAACAGUGUACUAAGUUUCAUGUUCAAGGUUCAAAUGUCAUGCUUUUAACUGAUAUAAUAUGGAAAACCAUUUGUGAAAAUAUAAAAUACAACAUUUUAUAACGUAUUUCACAAAUAAUCUGAAUAAAUGUUCUGCAAGUUCAAACGGUUAUCUGUUAUGAUUAUCAGUGUUAAAAGCAUAUGUAAUAUGAAACACAACACAUGUAAAACAAGUUUUGAGUACAAGUAUCCCUUGUACUUUGCUUGUAUUCCCCCCUGAAAACAGUGAAAAACAUUGAAAAAGGGUAGGGGUAUGAACUCACCAGACGAGAACACGUGUUGGUUAGGAUGCUAGUUGUCAGUUCAGGGCCUGAUUACGCGCGAGGUUCCUAUAUAGUAUGAAAUGAUAUACAAAUGUAUCUAAUUAGACUUUGAACCACUAAUUAGACGUGAAUAUGCACUCCAAAACGUGAAAACACUUCAAUUCAAGUGUUAGGAGUGAUCCGGGUAGCAUCUAAGGGUGUGUAGGGCCUAAAUAUGGAGUUUAAUCUUCAAGAGUAAACUCCUUGAGGAGUUUAUGGCCCAUUGACCAUAUCCCCAUGAGUUUACGGCCGUAAACUUAUGGGUGGUGGGUUCUUGGAUGCCAAAUGGUCAUACAAUGCACACGGGAAGGUUCUAGGGUCGAUUCCAUGGCUUAGGAAGUCAUCGGGACUUGAAAUGGCCUUGGGAAAUGAGUUUACGGUCUAAGAUGUUCUUGGGGAGUUUACUACCUUAAACUCAUGAGUUUACAACCGUAAACUCAUAUUUGUCCAUGAAUCAAGGGCUUUGGUGGUUGUAAUUCAAUCACAUGUGAUUCUAGGUCCAAAACCAAGCUAUUCAAGGGGUUAAAGGCACCUUAACACCCUUUGAGGGGUGUUUACGGCCUAAGGAGGUGGGUUUACGGUNUCACACGUGAUUCUAGGUCCAAAACCAAGCUAUUCAAGGGGUUAAAGGCACCUUAACACCCUUUGAGGGGUGUUUACCACCUAAGGAGGUGGGUUUACUGUCCAAAAAUGUUGUUGGGCCAUAAACUCAAGUUUGAUGCCUUUGAGGAUAUUUUGGUGCAUCACAUGAAAUAUUAUGAGGUUCUACACUCCCGUGGAAGCAUUUGAAGGUGUUUAAGGGCAUUUUGACUCACUAACAUGAGUUUAUGGUCCAUGAAUGAGGGUUUACGGUCCAAGAACAUGCUUGGGCCGUAAACUCAUGUCCCCACAUCAUAUGAUAUGAUUUGGGGGUCCUAAGCUCAUGCAUGCAAGUUUCUAGUCCAAAUCUAAGCCCUAGAAGUGUUUUGGAGGGGUUUUGAGGCUUCAAAACCCUCAUAUGAGGUGUUUACGGUUUUGGGAGGGUCCCCAAACCGUAACCACAUGUUCAUAUGUGUGUUGGGUAGAUUAAACACAAAUUUGAAUGAUAAACAAGCUUAGAAACAUGCUAGGAUAGAUUUCUUACCAAAAUGAAGCUUGAAAUGAGGUUUUUGGGCCAAUUUCGAGUUCUAGAGAGAGAGUGUAAAGAGAGAAAGUUUUUAUAGAGAGACAAAAAGCCUCAAAAUGAUGUCAAUCAAUCCCUUAUAUAGGGGUUGAGUUUGUGGCUCGGUGGUAUUCUACCCAAUAUUGCCGUUAGACGGUGCUUUUGGUCUUAUCCGAUAAAUUUGCCGUAAUCACGACUUUGAUGAAAAUAAUAAUUUUCCAAACAAAUAUGGAAAAUAUUUUAAUGAUCAUGACACAUCUCGACACUUACGAAAAUAAAAUAAAAGUCGCGAUAAAAUUUAUUUAACGCAAAGGUUAACGGAAUGAAUUGAAUACGACGGUUUUUAUUCGACGGGAACGGUUUUAGUGACGGAAUAAAUUACAGGUUGUCACAUUAUCCCCCCGUUAGAGGGAAUUUCGUCCCGAAAUUCAAAACUAAGAUACAAAUCAUGGAUCUGGAAAGAGAUGUGGAUACUUCUGUUUCAUUGAGUCUUCACGUUCCCAAGUGAAUUCCGGUCCCCGCUUGGCAUUCCAGCGAACCUUCACUAUCGGGAUGCGGCUUUGCUUUUGUACGUUUGACCUCUCGAUCCAUGAUUUCGAUCGGCUCCUCCAUGAAGUUCAAGUUUUCGUUGAUCUCGAUCUCAUAUAAGGGAAUCACUAGGGUUUCAUCGGAUAGACACUUCUUGAGGUUUGAAACAUGGAAGACGGGAUGAAUGUUACUGAGCUCAUGAGGUAAUCGAAGUUUAUAGGCUACAGGACCGAUCCUGGCGAGGAUCUUGAAGGGUCCAAUGUACCUCGAAUUAAGUUUCGCAUGCUUUCCGAAGCGUACCAUGCCUUUCCAGGGCGAGACCUUCAAUAGGACACGGUCUCCAACCUGGAAUUCCAGAGGUUUCCGAUGAUUAUCUGCGUAACUCUUUUGACGAUCUCGCGAAGCUUUCAAUCGUUCCCGGAUUUGAAUGAUCUUCUCGGUGGUUUUGCGGAUGAUUUCAGGACCAGUGAGAGCACUGUCGGGGACUCGAUUCUUGGCUAGCUGCGUGUCCCCUACCUCGGCCCAGCACAGAGGGGAUCUGCACUUGCGACCGUAGAGGGCUUCAAACGGGGCAGCUUUGAUGCUAGUGUGGUAACUGUUGUUGUAUGAGAUCUCGAUCAAAGGCAAAUGUGUGUCCCACGACUUUCCGAAAUCAAUGACACAUGCUCUAAGCAUGUCCUCCAGGGUUUGGAUAGUUCUCUCAAUCUGUCCAUCGGUCUGAGGAUGAUAGGCCGUACUCAUGUCUAGUUUGGUUCGAAGAGCCUUCUGGAGAGACUGCCAGAAUCUGGAGGUAAGCUUGCUAUCUCGAUCAGAGAUAAUGGACGCAGGUACACCGUGCAGUCGGACUACCUCUUGGAUGUAAAUUCGCACGAGUCUUUCCAUCUUGAAUGAUUCUUUGAUCGGAAUGAAGUGAGCGGACUUUGUCAAACGAUCGACAAUUACCCAAAUGGUGUCGUACCCACUCGGACACUUGGGUAACUUGGUGAUGAAAUCCAUGGUAGUCAUCUCCUAUUUCCACUCGGGUAUCUCGGGCUGCUGGAGCAGUCCCGAGGGUUUCUGGUGCUCGACUUUCACCUUGGCGCAAGUCAGACACUUGCCCACGUAUGUAGCGAUCUCAGCUUUCAUGUUUGGCCACCAGUAUUGUUUCUUGACAUCUAGGUACAUCUUGUCCGAACCUGGGUGAAAAGAGUAUCUGGUCUUAUGUGCUUCCUCCAUGACAAUCUCCCUGAAUCCUCCGGACAUUGGAAUCUAGAUUCGGUUCAUGAAAUAGUAGACUCCAUCACCUCUGAUCUCCAAUUUCUUAUCCAUUCCCCUCAAGGCUUCGAUUGAAACGUUCUCGGGUUUGAGGGCUUCUAACUGGGCGUCUCGGAUUUGCAUGGAUAAGUGGGAAUGGAUAGUCAUCGUCAGGGUAUUCACCUUUCGACUUGAACUCUCUUUUCGGCUAAGGGCAUCUGCCACCACAUUGGCCUUGCCGGGAUGGUAACAGAUUUCACACUCAUAGUCACUGAAUAGUUCUACCCAUCGUCGUUGCCUCAUGUUUAAUUCCUUCUGAUCGAGGAUGUGCUGCAGGCUCUUGUGGUCAGUGAAAAUCGUACACUUGGUUCCGUAGAGAUAAUGUCUCCAAAUCUUUAGUGCAAAGACUACGGCUCCUAAUUCCAAGUCAUGCGUGCUAUAGUUGACCUCGUGUGCUUUCAGCUGUCUAGAGGCAUAAGCAAUUACUUUUCCUCUUUGCAUAAGCACACAGCCUAAGCCUUGAUUAGACGCAUUGCAGUAGACAACGAAGUCCUCUGUCCCUUCGGGUAGGGACAGAACAGGCGCGCUGCACAAGGCUUGCUUUAAUGUCUGGAAUGCUGUUUCUUGCUUUUCAUUCCAACAAAAGGGUACACCUUUCUGUGUUAGAGUGGUUAAGGGUUUGGCGAUUCUGGAAAAGUUUUGGAUGAAUCUCCGAUAAUAGCCGGCGAGACCCAAGAAUUGACGGAUUUCUGUGGGUGUCUUCGGUGCCGACCAAUUCUCUAUUGCUUUAACCUUGGAAGGAUCCACCUGAAUACCCUCCUCGCUUAUUACGUGACCGAGGAAAGUUACCUUCCGAAUCCAGAAUUCACACUUGGAAAAUUUAGCGUACAACUUCUCGGAUCUAAGGGUUUCCAACACUAGCCUCAAGAGUUGUUUGUGAUCUUCUUCGCUUUUGGAGUAGACAAGUAUGUCAUCAAUGAACACAAUGACGAACUUUUCCAGAAAAGGGCGACACACCCGGUUCAUCAGGUCCAUCAACCCUGCCGGUGCGUUGGUUAGACUGAAGGGCAUCACUACGAACUCGUAGUGUCCAUAUCGAGUCCUGAAAGUUGUCUUGGAAACAUCACUCUCAUAAACUCGUAGCUGAUGGUACCCUGACCGAAGGUCUAUCUUUGAGAAGUAGCUGGCUCCCUGGAGUUGAUCGAAGAGGUCAUCUAUUCGCGGAAGAGGAUAUCGAUUUUUGACGGUCAACUUGUUCAGCUUGCGGUAAUCAAUACACAUCCGAAAGGAUCCAUCUUUCUUCUUAACGAACAAUACCGGAGCUCCCUAGGGUGAGGAACUUGGUCUAAUGAAUCCUUUACUGAGCAACACAUUGAGUUGGCUGGAUAACUCCUGCAUUUCUACUGGAGCUAAGCGAUACGAAGAUUUCGCUACGGGGGUAGCUCCAGGAAUUAGAUCAAUGCAGAAUUCGACUUGAAGUUCGGGAGGAAUUCCUGGAAGUUCUUCAGGAAACACAUCAGGAAAGUUACAGACUUCGGGGAUGCUCGCGAGGUCUUUAACUUCCUGUUUCUCAUUGAUUACAUGGGCUAGGAAUGUUUGGCAUUCCUUUCGCAAGAGUUUCUGAGCUUUGAUGCAGAAAAUGAUGCGAAGAUUGGAGCUGAGUUUAUCGCCAUAGAUUAUGAGAGUCUGACCCGCAGGAAGGUUGAGACGGAUGGCUUUUUCGAAAUAGAGAAUAUCAGCGUGAUUGGGACUCAACCAUUCCAUGCUAAUAAUGACCUCAAAGUUCUUUAUGGAAAUUGGCAUAAGAUCGAUAGGAAAUGAAUGGUCAUUCAGGGUAAGGGUACAGCCUAUGAACACCUCGUUAGCGCUUUCUUUCUCACCGUUAGCCAUCUCGACAGUAAACAUUUCGGUUAAUGGUUGAGGAUUAGGUUUAAGAUUAUGUUUGAACGCAUGACUAACAAAACUUCUUUCAGCACCCGAAUCGAAAAGGAUACUAGCAUAAGAGUUUUCGAGAAGGAAUGUACCCGAAACAACGGUGGGAUCUGUGACUGCUUCCUCCCGUCCCAUGGCUAGGACUCUCCCAGUAUUAUCAGCUGUUACCUUCUUGGGGUAGUUCCUUUUGAAGUGCCCAACUUCUCCACAAUUAUAGCAGGCUUGACCAACACCUGCUCCAGAAGAUUGAUUGGCUGAUUGGGCUGCUGCUUUGCAGAAUCGGAUCGUGUACCCCUUUUUACCACAAUUAGUGCAUGACAGUUCAUGGCAGGGGCCGGGGUUGUGGUGGUAUUUGCACUUGUCACAUAAGGGAAGGUUACCAGCAUAUCUGCUAGUAGGUGUUUGAGCUGUAGAUCACACAACAUAAGCAGCAGCAACGGGGGUAGUAGCAGCAUGGACUGCUAUAGUCUGCUGUUUCUUUGAGGACCCUUGGGUAGAUUGACCUUUCUUCUUCUUCCAAAAUUUCCUUUUCUCACCACUCCUCUUAGUCGGCUCAAGAGUGGUAGUUGUUUCCUCAACAUCAUCACUGUGAUCAAUCAGGGUCUGGGCUAAACUCUUGGCGCUAUCAUACGUAUCUGGCCGUGCAGCUAAGACAUUUCCCUUGGUUGGCUGGGUCAACCCCCAAAUGAACCUCUCUAUCUUCUUACUUUCCAGGGUAACCGUUCCCGGGCAGAGGAGUGCAAGGUCAUCGAAUCUAGAAGUGUAUGCAGCAAUAUCGAAACCUUUCAUCUUCAGGUUCCAGAGCUUGUGCUCUAAUUUCUGCAUUUCGCCCCGAGGGCAGUAUUCAGCUAGGAGGAGUUAUUUCAUGGCUUCCCAACCCAUGGCGUUGGCUACAAGUAGGGUCAAGGAUUUGACUCGGCCAUUCCACCAAGUCAGAGCUUUAUCAAUGAAGGUACAAGCUACAAACUUUACUUUAUCGGAUUCCGAACAAGCACAGAUUUCGAAGAUGGAUUCGAUUUUCUCGAACCAUCGGGAAAGGGAAAUGACACCUCCAAUGCCAUCGAAGGAUGUAGGUUUUGCGUUCAUGAAAUCUUUAUAGGAAACCUCUUUUCGGUGUCCCUGACUGCUUUCUUGAUUUUGGGUUUGAGUACCACCUCCCGAACCACCGGAACCACCGGUGUUCAAUUGAGACAUAGCAGCUGCCACCGCGGUGGUAACAGCUGUCUGAAACACCACAAGGUCAAUUUCAGGAGGAGGUGGUGGUGGAGGGUUGUUGGUCUUGGAGUUGGGUCUCUUUCUUGGAGGCAUCUUGAUCUAAUAAGAUCAAGAAAGAGAGGGUGAUAAGUCCUCUGAAUUGAAUCAAGAGAUAUGACAGAUAUAUACAUUCCGAAUAAGCGAUAAAGCAGGAAAGAGUUAUCGAAACAGAUAAAUUAUCGCUAAAGGAAUGAUCAAGGAACAACAGGUGAACGAGGAUUUUCUACAAAGGAUUGGCUCGAGAAAUACUCCCAUAGUAUUUCAGGAUUCGCUUACGACACUGGCUCGAUGUUUGUGGUAUUAGGGUAAGUUUUAGGCAUGUCGCAUACCGCAGUCACUCCAAAGCACAUGUUGGCCGUGUCUCGAAUGAAUAUAGUUGGCUAGGCUAUAUUGAUCCUAGACAUGACCACAUAACUGCACAGGUUUAAUCACAGUACACAACACCCAUUUACUUAUGUUUUGUUCUACUUGUAGUUACAGAUCUCGACGGUUCGGUAUACUUGUAUACUUUUGAAAAUACUUAUAAUUUGAAGUAUACUUUUAGUUCAGAGCACUUAGGCCCCUUAGUGUUUAUAGUCUUAUACCAUGUAAGGUUUGAUAUACUUUAUUCACUAUAACCAAGGGCUCUGAUACCAAUCUGUCACACCCCGAAAACCGAAGGCGGAAACAUUUCCGGGGUUGACUCCACGUUGAGUAUCAAAUCCAAUGCACAUAGUAAGUAAAGUAAACCAACCAUUACAUUACAUAAUAAAGUUUUACAGUUGUUUCAAAAGUAAAGUUUGUACAGUUGUGAUACAUAGUAUAUAUAGACAAAAUGAAACGGAUCUUCAUGUACUCCAUCUUCUGAUCAAAAGAAAUCUCCGGGUACCUGUUCUAACGCUGACCUGAGAACACAAGCGGUUUGAAAAUCAGCAUAAAGCNUGUUUCUGGAAAUGAUACACACCAAGAAAAUCCCAUAUUUUCUUAAUAGUUGGUUAUUGAAUCCCAAAAUGUAAUGUAAAAGAUGUACACUGAAAACAUGUUUACUCUUGUGAACUGUAAAGUUUAGUUAUCUGAAAUGUUACACGAUUCUGGUUAUGUACAAAUGUUACCCCAGGAAAAUCCCAUAUUUUCCUAAAUGUUGGUUACCAAUUGUGGAAGAUGUAUACUGAAAACCUGGUUGUCCUUGUGAAAUGUAUUAGUUUUAACACGUAUAUAAAACUAAUAUAUACAAAGUAAACAUAGUUACUUUAUUCAUUAUUACUAUUUAGUAAAUCUCUGUUAUCCAAAUUGCGAGUUCCAUAACCAUACGAUAGACUAGAUAUGGCAAUAAGUAGUCCACAUCACCUUAUGACUUCCGUCACCCUUGAACCUUUCGGUUCGGCUGUAGCUAGCAGCCAGGUGUGGGGUAGUCAGCCCCGUAUAGAUCUAUACACUCAAGUCACGCUCCCUAUCUAAGAGAUUCUGGUUAUGGGUGUGGUCCUCCACUCGCGUAUCUCUGUGGAGUGUUCACCGAGGACGUGUCUCCAAUUUAUAGAAAUAACAAAUUUACUAGUAAUAAUACAGAAAGAUCCUGUUACAAACAAUGAUCCUCCACUCGCGUAUCUCUGUGGAGUGUUACCGAGGACAAAACAGUGUACUAAGUUUCAUGUUCAAGGUUCAAAUUUCAUGCUUUUAACUGAUAUAAUAUGGAAAACCAUUUGUGAAAAUAUAAAAUACAACAUUUUAUAACGUAUUUCACAAAUAAUCUGAAUAAAUGUUCUUCAAGUUCAAACGGUUAUUUGUUAUGAUUAUCAGUAUUAAAAGCAUAUGUAAUCUGAAACACAACACAUGUAAAACAAGUUUUGAGUACAAGUAUCCCUUGUACUUUGCUUGUAUUCCCCCCUGAAAACAGUGAAAAACAUUGAAAAAGGGUAGGGGUAUGAACUCACCAGACGAGAACACGUGUUGGUUAGGAUGCUAGUUGUCAGUUCAGGGCCUGAUUACGCGCGAGGUUCCUAUAUAGUAUGAAAUGAUAUACAAAUGUAUCUAAUUAGACUUUGAACCACUAAUUAGACGUGAAUAUGCACUCCAAAACGUGAAAACACUUCAAUUCAAGUGUUAGGAGUGAUCCGGGUAGCAUCUAAGGGUGUGUAGGGCCUAAAUAUGGAGUUUAAUCUUCAAGAGUAAACUCCUUGAGGAGUUUACGGCCCAUUGACCAUAUCCCCAUGAGUUUACGACCGUAAACUUAUGGGUGGUGGGUUCUUGGAUGCCAAAUGGUCAUUCAAUGCACACGAGAUGGUUCUAGGGUCGAUUCCAUGGCUUAGGAAGUCAUCGGGACUUGAAAUGGCCUUGGGAAAUGAGUUUACGGUCUAAGGAGAUGUUCUUGGGUAGUUUACUACCUUAAACUCAUGAGUUUACAACCGUAAACUCAUAUUUGUCCAUGAAUCAAGGGCUUUGGUGGUUGUAAUUCAAUCACAUGUGAUUCUAGGUCCAAAACCAAGCUAUUCAAGGGGUUAAAGGCACCUUAACACCCUUUGAGGGGUGUUUACCACCUAAGGAGGUGGGUUUACUGUCCAAAAAUGUUGUUGGGCCAUAAACUCAAGUUUGAUGCCUUUGAGGAUAUUUUGGUGCAUCACAUGAAAUAUUAUGAGGUUCUACACUCCCGUGGAAGCAUUUGAAGGUGUUUAAGGGCAUUUUGACUCACUAACAUGAGUUUAUGGUCCAUGAAUGAGGGUUUACGGUCCAAGAACAUGCUUGGGCCGUAAACUCAUGUCCCCACAUCAUAUGAUACGAUUUGGGGGUCCUAAGCUCAUGCAUGCAAGUUUCUAGUCCAAAUCUAAGCCCUAGAAGUGUUUUGGAGGGGUUUUGAGGCUUCAAAACCCUCAUAUGAGGUGUUUACGGUUUUGGGAGGGUCCCCAAACCGUAACCACAUGUUCAUAUGUGUGUUGGGUAGAUUAAACACAAAUUUGAAUGAUAAACAAGCUUAGAAACAUGCUAGGAUAGAUUUCUUACCAAAAUGAAGCUUGAAAUGAGGUUUUUGGGCCAAUUUCGAGUUCUAGAGAGAGAGUGUAGAGAGAGAAAGUUUUUAUAGAGAGACAAAAAGCCUCAAAAUGAUGUCAAUCAAUCCCUUAUAUAGGGGUUGAGUUUGUGGCUCGNGAAGGACACUGCCCUUAGACUUGAAAUCAUCUAAAGAGUGUAUGAAUUAUGCACCUCCUAACCCAUUAAAACUAAAUUUAGCUCAAUAUGUUAUUGAAUAGUUCUAAUCACACGAUUGUCUUCCUACAACUAUUUUUAGUUAUGAGGGUAAGUAGCGUAUUUAUUCGAGAAUAAGUUUGUGGUCCAACUUGUUCCAAUUAUCUGGGUGGGAAAAUAAGUGGCAAUAUUUGUAGUAUGACACUAAUUUUGGCUCGACUAUUGUUCUAAUGCACUAAUGACAUGCCCUAUGGUUUAUAAUAAAUGGGAUCUUAAACAGUUUCUUGAAUUGGCCAAUACCCACAUGACAUAUAUAAGCCGGAUCCUAACAACUUGUUUUAAACUAACAUAAAUGAUUGUGUUCAUCUUCUUUCGUUUAUGUUUUUUAAUCAAACUAAGUUAAAGAAGCAUAAACAAUUGAAGACAAAUAAAAAUAAGUGAACAUAUAUGAACAUAAACAUACAUAUAAAAAGUAAACAAAUAAACGAAUGCAAAUACGCGUCAACGUCAUAAUGAAUAAUAAUAAAACUUGAUCACCAAUACUUUGAUAUGUUGAUAUAUAUAUAUAUAUAUAUAUAUAUAUAUAUAUAUAAGUGUGUGUACAUGUAAUUAAUCAUGUAUAACUUACAUAGUAAUUAAAAAAUAUACAUAAUUAAUUAGAAAGUUGAACUCUUUAAUUUGUAAGAACAUAAACAGUUACGAAUCUGAAACAUUAUAAAUUUAAAUGAACAUUCCCAACAUAUUUCAUAAGCCAUUCUAAAAAAGCACCAUAUUUUAUAAAAUAACGGCAAGACUUACAUUCUCACUGUGCUUCAUUGGUUUUUUCUUGUGCCUCAUUAUGUGCACCAAUUCCGUGCAAGUAAGAUAUAUAUAAAAAAAACUAAUUAUUAUUGUACUAACAACUAAAAAUGUAUUUUAGAUUGGAAAAUAUUAUGCAAAUAUUUAAUGGGAUUAUGAUGUUUUUUUAAUUAUAAUCUUCAAAUAGUUUUCUUGGCUCAUAAUUUUUGUAUUGUACUUAGGUGUAGGUCACUAUACUUGUUUUUGUGUUGAUGUCAUGUAUGUGGUUUAAUUAAUUAAAAAAACAGGUAACAAAUAUGAAAAAAAAUGGGAUUCUGAUAAUUUCUCUGAAAUAUGUAAUUUUGACUCUAUUAGUUUUGGAUUGCACUAAACAUAUCUAUACAUUUUUCUAUUUUCUAGAAGCUCAUAAUUCACAAAAAUACAUGCCUUUAUGAGCCAGGGAAAUUCCCUAGGGACCCAAGAAGGACACUGCCCUUAGACUUGAAAUCAUCUAAAGAGUGUAUGAAUUAUGCACCUCCUAACCCAUUCAAACUAAAUUUGGCUCAAUAUGUAAUAGAAUAGUUCUAACCACAUGCUUUUCUUCCUACAACUAUUUUUAGUUAUGAGGGUAAGUAGCAUAUUUAUUCGAGAAUAAGUUUCUGGUUCAACGUGUUCCAAUUAUCUGGGUGGGAAAAUAAGUGGCAAUAUUUGUAGUAUGACACUAAUUUUGGCUCGACUAUUGGUCUAAUGCACUAAUGACAUGCCCUAUGGUUUAUAAUAAAUGGGAUCUUAAACAUUUUCUUGAAUUGGCCAAUACCCACAUGACAUAUAUAAGUCGGAUCCUAACAACAAGUUUUUAAACUAACAUAAAUGAUUGUGUUCAUCUUCUUUCGUUUAUGUUUUUUAAUCAAACUAAGUUAAACAAGCAUAAACAAUUGAAGAGAAAUAAAAAUAAGUGAACAUAUAUGAACAUAAACAUACAUAUAAACAGUAAACAAAUAAACGAAUGCAAAUAGGCGUAAACAUCGUAAUGAAUAAUAAUAAAACUUGAUCACCAACACUUUGAUAUGUUGAUCGUACUUAGUGGUGCUACAUUUGAUAGUUUUACCAAAUUCACAAAAUAUAAAACCUAUGCUAAUUUUAAAAACCCCACGUCUGCAAAGGCCCUGGUUAGUGUCUGAGUUAUUGGUCCAUGCAUAACUCAUAAGUAAUUAUGAUACAUAUAUAUACUAGUUGUGAAACUCGUAUAUUAUACGGGUUGAUUAAAACAAAAUGUUAAGUACGAACGCUUAAAUAGAAAUUUUAUUUGAAUUUGAAAUUGAAAUAAGUGAAAAUUAUGAGAAAAAGACAUGCAAAAAAUAAAUUAAUUAAAAUUAUGUGUUAAGUGUACUAAACGAGUUAAUUAUAACAAAAUGUUAAACAUAAAGGUUUAAACUAUAAAUUUAUUUGAAAUUGAAUUUAAAAUUUAAAAUUUAAAAUUUAAAAUUUAAAAUUAAUAGUCACUAUGGUAGGUUUAAUUUAUGGAAACAAAAUUAAUCAUAAAUUGAAGCAAUGACAAGUGGAAAAUAAAUAUAUAUCUCAAAAUUAUAACAAAAUUACAUAUGACUAAUUUUAUGAGAGAAUGACAUGUGGCAAAGUCAUUUUCAUUUAUUAGGAUAAAUAUAGCUCUACCUAUUUAUGUAAUAUAUUAGAUAUGAAAAAUAACCUAUCAAAACCUAGUUUCACCCAAUUUAUUAAAUUCGUUGUAUUGGUUGGAUAUCAAACACAUUUGGAAAUUAAUCAACCCAAUCCAUUCCCAUCCAUAAGUCCAUAACCUAUCAUCUUAAAUAUUACUAAAACAGAAACAUUAUGACAUCAUCUUAAAUAAUCUGGACCAUUGAUUGUAUUUUAAUCUUAUUUUUCCACUCUUAGAUCAAAUUGCUGACAUCAUNAAUUAGAAUGAACAUUCCCAACAUAUUUCAUAAACCAUUCUAAAAAAGCACCAUAUUUUAUAAAAUAAUGGCAAGAAUUACAUUCUCACCGUGCUUCAUUGGUUUUUUCUUGUGCCUCAUUAUGUGCACCAAUUCCGUGCAAGUAAGAUAUAUAUAAAAAAAACUCAUUAUUAUUGUACUAACAACAUAAAAUGUAUUUUAGAUUGGAAAAUAUUAUGCAAAUAUUUAAUGGGAUUAUGAUGUUUUUUUUUUGUUUUGAUAACGGAUAGGGGAAAACUUGGUGUGUAGCUCAAAGCCAGGCUACCGAACCGAAGUUGCAACAAGUUCUUGACUAUCUUUGUGGACAACUCGACUGCAAGGAGAUUCGACCUGGAGGAUCAUGCUUUAACCCUAACACUGUGCGAAAUCAUGCGUCUUAUGCUAUUGAUCUUAACUUUCAAAUUAAUGGUGUAUGCGAUAUUAGUUACGCUACUCCUGCUGUCACAGAUCCAUGUAAGUUUCUUUUUCUAUUGGAAUAUUUUCUAAAGAAAUGCUCUGGCACAUCAAAUAUCGGGUGAUAAGUGUACAAAUUGAAACUAAUUUUGUGUUGUUUUUAUGCAGCUUUCGGGACAUGUGUCUACCCCUAAGUGAUGAAAAAUUCGUAAUCGAACGACACGUUGAAGGGAAGAUCAUAUUUUUUUUCAAAUUCUUGAAGGGUGAAAAAAUGUAUAAAACAAUCUA